UAUUUUCGGUCUACAACACUUAACUGAGAAAUUUGAAUUGUGUGUUGCCUUUCGAUCGGAUUUCAAUUAUCGAAAAAAAAGUUAUAUUUGUUGUUUUUUUUUUUGUUACAUGUGGACGCCCGAAAAAGAACAAGUUUCAAUCACUUCCUGAAUGUACAUGUGAGUAUAUCGAGAAUUAUUUCAAAUUUUCAUAGUUAAAAUCCGAUUGAUUUCGAGAAUAAAAUUUUUUAAUUUCUCAAUAUAUUUACUAUAGAAUUGUGUGGACUAGCGAUAUAUUACUAUAUUAUAUCACCUUGGGAUUUAAAAAUACUAUAGAGGAGAUUUCUGAAAAGCCGCCGAACAUCUAAGUAAGUACCUAGUCUUCAAAACUGUGGAUGUUCAAUAUAAUAAGAGAACAAAAAGGUGUACAAUACCUUUCUCACUAGGUAUUCAGAUUCAUUUUAAUUAGGUGCGGAAAAUGCUUGAUCAAUUCUUGCAGCUUAGAAUGAACUCACUGAUUUUUUCCACAAAAAAAAAUGUAUAGUUUUUGUUUUAUAUCACUUUGAAAAUUGAAGUCGUAUCUCAAUUAUUUCAAUGAUGAAAAUUUCAACAUUUUUUCCUUAUCAUGCUAUUACAAUUUCUUCCAAAAUACUCCUUGAAUUCAAUGAUCAUUUAUUGUUUUCUUAUUUGAUAAUAUUUCCAUUUAUUGAUAUUCUGUAUUUUACAUUGAAAUACACGAGAAUGUAUUUUUUUUAGAAAAACUCGUAUUAGAUUGUAGCAAUCUUUUCAAUGACGAUUGAAAAACUUUUCAAUUCUCAAAGUGAUAUAAAAGAAAAACUAAACAUUUUUUUGUUGAGAAAAAAUUGGUGAAUCUAUUCUAAAUUACCAUACGAAGAUUUCUUCCAAAAGAAACAUCCUCGAUUCAACUCUGACACCUUUAAAGAUUUUUUCAGGCAUUCUUUUCCUUGUUUUAGAUAUUUAUUUAUUUUUUUUUCUUGAAACAUCUUCAUCGUCUGAAACUUCGGAUUAAAAAUUGACGGCCAACAAUACCUGGGAGAUCCAAGUGUUAGGUCUUUCUUGACGAGGACUUGCUCUCGAUCUACCACAGCAACAGAAGAAGUCUACCCGGAUUGGUGUAGGAUUGCUGUCGUGAAAAUAGUUGAAAAUCUUUAUUUGAGACAUCUGAAGGAGUUGACAUGUCCACCAAAACCUGCUUGUCUUUAACCACUUCUCCAGGUGACACUAUACCAUCAGCAUCUAAUACAUCAUGCUGCAAAGCUGAUCUAUUGGUUGUGGUAUAGAUCAAUGGUCCUUGCAUAAUGCAUUUGUUUGGUUGGGAUAUCUUUUAAGGGUGCAUUUAGUGGUCUUAUAGAAGAGACUCCAAGCUCUAGAGAAUCUUCUAUGUUAUAACUACUGUAGCACAUUACUGCAUGGAUACAUUGAUGUAUAACUUAGUAUAUACACAAAAACUUUUGGUAAAAACAAAGAGUAUAUAACUAACAAAUUAUGAUGUGUUACCAGCAUCAUAAUUUGUUAGUUCUAUACUCUAUAGUUUUCACUAUAUGAUGCUGGUAACACAUCAUAAUUUGUUAGUUAUAUACUCUUUGUUUUUACCAAAAGUCUUUGUGUAUAUACUAAGUUAUACAUCAAUGUAUCCAUGCAGUAAUGUGCUACAAUAGUUAUAACAUAGAAGAUUCUCUAGUGCUUAGCGUCUCUUCUAUAAGACCACUAAAUGCACCCUUAGAAGAUAUCCCAACCAAACAAAUGCAUUAUGCAAGGACCAUUGAUGUAUACCACAACGAAUAGAUCAGCUUUGCAGCAUGAUAUAUUAGAUGGUGAUGGUAUAGUGGCACCUGGAGAAGUGGUUGCAGACAGCAGGCUAUGCAUCAAUGUAUCCAUUCUCAUCUGUUGGUUGUAACCUUUAGCACCAAUAGAUUGUUGUCCAUGACACAUCGAUAUGUGUCAUAGCUUUUUUGUUUAUGGCACAUUGAUAUGUGUCAUGGGAAACAAGCUAUUGGUAAUAUAGGUUAUAACCAUUCUCAUCUGUUGGUUGUAACCUAUAGCAUCCAUAACUUGCUUUCCUAUGGCACAUUGGCAAGUAUUUCUUUUUCUCUGUUUGUCAGUAGUCUUUCAAUUAAUAUACUGCCAAUCAGAGCUCCAGAAAAUAUUUAUCAAAGAAUCACUUAAUCUUUGUUGAAAGACUAAUGGUCAGCCUCCAGGACUACAUAAGAAUCGAAGAGAUCAGCAGGGGUACAAAGGUGGAAGAUGUAUUUGUUUACAGACUUUUAAGAAUAUUUCUUUAUAAACCUAAAAUCUUAGGACAUUUAUUAUUAUUAUUUUUUUUAUUACAAAAUUGAUUUUCUCUUCUGUGUGCACUGAGGUAUUUUAUAUAUUUUUUUUUGUUUGUCAUUAUUAUUCUAUGAAAAUUUUCUAUAUUCCAAGGCAUUGAUGGAUACUUAUAUGG
This is a long non-coding RNA of Harmonia axyridis, 2443 nucleotides long. RefSeq lists it as uncharacterized. The record is from RefSeq and is a predicted model, not a curated record. The transcript is spliced from 2 exons. NCBI's taxonomy places the organism in Eukaryota, Metazoa, Arthropoda, Insecta, Coleoptera, Coccinellidae.